CUGCAGCAGGAUCAUUG
This 17-nucleotide ribosomal RNA is filed under the name Euglena gracilis. Its description in RNAcentral is "partial ribosomal RNA". The record is from RNAcentral. Lineage: Eukaryota; Euglenozoa; Euglenophyceae; Euglenales; Euglenaceae.